Molecule: small nucleolar RNA, 75 nt
Organism: Cynoglossus semilaevis (tongue sole)
Lineage: Eukaryota; Metazoa; Chordata; Actinopteri; Pleuronectiformes; Cynoglossidae
Product: small nucleolar RNA SNORD66
Source: Ensembl
CUCCAAUGAUGACCUUAAUUUUGUGCCACGUGUCUGGGCCACUGAUCCAAAUGAUGGGAUUGAGGAUCUGAGGAG